Molecule: ribosomal RNA, 252 nt
Filed under: uncultured bacterium
Lineage: Bacteria
Description: partial 16S ribosomal RNA
Rfam family: Bacterial small subunit ribosomal RNA
Source: RNAcentral
UACGGAGGAUGCGAGCGUUAUCCGGAUUUAUUGGGUUUAAAGGGUGCGUAGGCGGACUGUCAAGUCAGCGGUAAAAUUGAGAGGCUCAACCUCUUCCCGCCGUUGAAACUGGUGGUCUUGAGUGGAUGAGAAGUACGCGGAAUGCGUGGUGUAGCGGUGAAAUGCAUAGAUAUCACGCUGAACUCCGACUGCGAUGGCAGCGUACCGGCAUCCAACUGACGCUGAGGCACGAAAGCGUGGGGAUCAAACAGG